Molecule: ribosomal RNA, 238 nt
Filed under: uncultured bacterium
Lineage: Bacteria
Description: partial 16S ribosomal RNA
Rfam family: Bacterial small subunit ribosomal RNA
Source: RNAcentral
GAUCCUGGCUCAGGAUGAACGCUAGCGACAGGCUUAACACAUGCAAGUCGAGGGGCAGCGGGGGGUAGCGAUACCCGCCGGCGACCGGCGCACGGGUGAGUAACGCGUAUGCAACUUGCCUAUCGGAGGGGGAUAACCCGGCGAAAGUCGGACUAAUACCGCAUGAAGCAGGGAUCCCGCAUGGGAAUAUUUGCUAAAGAUUCAUCGCUGAUAGAUAGGCAUGCGUUCCAUUAGGCAG